Long non-coding RNA from Neofelis nebulosa (Clouded leopard), 150 nucleotides. RefSeq lists it as uncharacterized. Lineage: Eukaryota; Metazoa; Chordata; Mammalia; Carnivora; Felidae. The record is from RefSeq and is a predicted model, not a curated record. The transcript has 2 exons.
CCACCCCGCAGGGGCCCGCCCCCUCCCUACUCAGCUGCCAGAGAAGCGCUCAGCUCUUCAAAGAUCGCCACGCAUCUCGGACGCUGCUUUCGCAAGUACCAGUCAGUCCAGAGAAAAAGUGUGCACGGAGAAGAGGGAGCAAGAGAAAAA